Podarcis lilfordi (Lilford's wall lizard) is the source of this 73-nucleotide non-coding RNA. The record is from the annotation of a GenBank genome assembly. NCBI's taxonomy places the organism in Eukaryota, Metazoa, Chordata, Lepidosauria, Squamata, Lacertidae.
AGCCAGUGUGGCCUAGUGGUUAGAGUGUUGGACUAGGACCAAGGAGACCAGGGUUCGAAUCCCCUCUUGGCUA